GACGAACGCUGGCGGCGUGCUUAACACAUGCAAGUCGAACGGAAAGGCCCUGCUUUUGUGGGGUGCUCGAGUGGCGAACGGGUGAGUAACACGUGAGUAGCCUGCCCUUGACUUUGGGAUAACUUCAGGAGACUGGGGCUAAUACCGGAUAGGAGCUCCUGCUGCAUGGUGGGGGUUGGAAAGUUUCGGCGGUUGGGGAUGGACUCGCGGCUUAUCAGCUUGUUGGUGGGGUAGUGGCUUACCAAGGCUUUGACGGGUAGCCGGCCUGAGAGGGUGACCGGCCACAUUGGGACUGAGAUACGGCCCAGACUCCUACGGGAGGCAGCAGUGGGGAAUAUUGCACAAUGGGCGGAAGCCUGAUGCAGCAACGCCGCGUGCGGGAUGACGGCCUUCGGGUUGUAAACCGCUUUCGCCUGUGACGAAGCGUGAGUGACGGUAAUGGGUAAAGAAGCACCGGCUAACUACGUG
Molecule: ribosomal RNA, 468 nt
Filed under: uncultured bacterium
Lineage: Bacteria
Description: partial 16S ribosomal RNA
Rfam family: Bacterial small subunit ribosomal RNA
Source: RNAcentral